UAUAGUUUAUUUGAUAGUGACUUGCUACAUGGAUAACCGUAGUAAUUCUAGAGCUAAUACAUGCCAAAAAGGCCUGACCGUAUGGAAGGGUCGUAUUUAUUAGAUAAAAAACCAAUCUCGCAAGAGUUUUGUGGUGAUUCAUAAUAACUGUUCGAAUCGCAUACCGCAAGGUGGCGAUAGAUCAUUCAAAUUUCUGCCCUAUCAGCUCUCGACGGUAGUGUAGUGGACUACCGUGGCAUUAACGGGUAACGGAGAAUUAGGGUUCGAUUCCGGAGAGGGAGCCUGAGAAACGGCUACCACAUCCAAGGAAGGCAGCAGGCGCGCAAAUUACCCAAUCCUGAUACAGGGAGGUAGUGACAAAAAAUAACAAUACCGGGCGUUUUACGUCUGGUAAUUGGAAUGAGUACAAUUUAAAUCCCUUGACGAGGAACAAUUGGAGGGCAAGUCUGGUGCCAGCAGCCGCGGUAAUUCCAGCUCCAAUAGCGUAUAUUAAAGUUGUUGCAGUUAAAAAGCUCGUAGUUGGAUUUCUGGUACGAUGCGCUUGGCCCGUAUGGUUCUGCCAUACGCGUGUCGACGUGCGUCUGCCAUCCUUCCAGUUAACGGCCGAUACUUCACUGUAUGGGUCGCGAUCUGGAUCUUUUACUUUGAAAAAAUUAGAGUGUUUAAAGCAAGCUUGCGCUAUGAAUACAUUAGCAUGGAAUAAUAAUUUAGGACUUUAUUCCUAUUUUAUUGGUUUCUAGGAGUGAAGUAAUGAUUGAUAGGGAUAGUUGGGGGUGCUAGUAUUCAUCGGCCAGAGGUGAAAUUCUUGGAUUCGAUGAAGACUAACUAAUGCGAAAGCAUUCACCAAGGAUGUCUUCUUUAAUCAAGAACGAAAGUUGGGGGAUCGAAGACGAUCAGAUACCGUCGUAGUCUCAACCAUAAACUAUACCGACUAGGGAUUAGCGGAUGCUCGUUUUGGGCGCCGUUAGCACCUUAUGAGAAAUCAGAAGUCUUUGGGUUCUGGGGGGAGUAUGGUCGCAAGGCUGAAACUUAAAGGAA
RNAcentral lists this ribosomal RNA (1038 nucleotides) under Cercomonas sp. strain Panama86. RNAcentral's name for it is "SSU rRNA". It matches the Rfam family "Eukaryotic small subunit ribosomal RNA", at positions 111 to 1152 of the family's 1831-position model. The record is from RNAcentral. Lineage: Eukaryota; Cercozoa; Cercomonadida; Cercomonadidae.